GACAGAGGGUGCAACCGUUGUUCGGAAUUACUGGGCGUAAAGCGUGUGUAGGCGGCUCCGCAAGUCGGAUGUGAAAGCCCCGGGCUCAACCCGGGAAGUGCACUCGAUACUGCGUAGCUUGAGUAUCGGAGAGGUUGGUGGAAUUCUCGGUGUAGAGGUGAAAUUCGUAGAUAUCGAGAGGAACACCUGCGGCGAAGGCGGCCAACUGGACGAAUACUGACGCUGAGACACGAAAGCGUGGGGAGCAAACAGG
RNAcentral lists this ribosomal RNA (253 nucleotides) under uncultured bacterium. RNAcentral describes it as "partial 16S ribosomal RNA". It matches the Rfam family "Bacterial small subunit ribosomal RNA", at positions 524 to 776 of the family's 1533-position model. The record is from RNAcentral.